AGCAUAUCAAUAAGCGGAGGAAAAGAAACCAACAGGGAUUGCCCUAGUAACGGCGAGUGAAGCGGCAACAGCUCAAAUUUGAAAUCUGGCUUCGGCCCGAGUUGUAAUUUGCAGAGGAAGCUUUGGGCGCGGCACCUUCUGAGUCCCCUGGAACGGGGCGCCAUAGAGGGUGAGAGCCCCGUAUAGUUGGAUGCCUAGCCUGUGUAAAGCUCCUUCGACGAGUCGAGUAGUUUGGGAAUGCUGCUCAAAAUGGGAGGUAAAUUUCUUCUAAAGCUAAAUAUUGGCCAGAGACCGAUAGCGCACAAGUAGAGUGAUCGAAAGAUGAAAAGCACUUUGAAAAGAGGGUUAAAUAGCACGUGAAAUUGUUGAAAGGGAAGCGCUUGUGACCAGACUUGCGCCGGGCGGAUCAUCCGGUGUUCUCACCGGUGCACUCCGCCCGGCUCAGGCCAGCAUCGGUUCUCGUGGGGGGAUAAAGGCCCUGGGAACGUAGCUCCUCCGGGAGUGUUAUAGCCCAGGGUGUAAUGCCCUCGCGGGGACCGAGGUUCGCGCAUCUGCAAGGAUGCUGGCGUAAUGGUCAUCAGCGACCCGUCUUGAAACACGGACCAAGGAGUCAAGGUUUUGCGCGAGUGUUUGGGUGUUAAACCCGCACGCGUAAUGAAAGUGAACGUAGGUGAGAGCUUCGGCGCAUCAUCGACCGAUCCUGAUGUAUUCGGAUGGAUUUGAGUAGGAGCGUUAAGCCUUGGACCCGAAAGAUGGUGAACUAUGCUUGGAUAGGGUGAAGCCAGAGGAAACUCUGGUGGAGGCUCGCAGCGGUUCUGACGUGCAAAUCGAUCGUCAAAUCUGAGCAUGGGGGCGAAAGACUAAU
This 865-nucleotide ribosomal RNA is filed under the name Chaetomium convolutum. RNAcentral's name for it is "LSU rRNA". It matches the Rfam family "Eukaryotic large subunit ribosomal RNA", at positions 37 to 935 of the family's 3401-position model. The record is from RNAcentral. Lineage: Eukaryota; Fungi; Ascomycota; Sordariomycetes; Sordariales; Chaetomiaceae.